UAUAAUUAUAUCAUUUCCAGUCAUCAGACAAGGGUUUAUAAUACAAUCUUUUGCUGGACGAGAUCAUAAGUACUGAGAGAGCUUUCUGUCAUAAAUUGGCAGCUAAGAUGAAGCACUUCUUUAUGAUUGUUGCAGCCACUGCUCUGUUGGGCAUGCAUAGUCUCGUCGCCCAGCUAUGUUGGGCAUAGCUAGUGCUGCUGCUAUACUUGUCAGGAGACUCCACCAACAUGGUCUGGCCACCUGUUUGGGGUCACUAUAUAUAUGAUGCAGCCUACCUCAAGUUAGUACGUGAUCAAGGUCCCAACUUCAGGACUGCCUUCAGACACACUAAAGUUACUACACCAUGAUCUGGAUCCGACUGACCAUUGUUGUUGCAGAGGUUCGUUACGUGGGGCUUUAAUAGCUCUUAAAGAAUGAAUGAAGCUUGAGUUGGAUAAAUCUAUUGGUAUACUGUCAGUGACUCAUGGCUCAACUCAUCAUCACUGUGUUGUGGAAGGAAAGAGAUUACUGUAUGAUACUGGGAUGGAACUAACUGGUAGAAAAGUACAUGUAUAAUCAUCUUAUGUAUACACAUACAACUGUAUGUGUGUGUGUGUGUGUGUUUUAUUGCACUGAAAUUGGGAGUGAUUUCAGGGAGCUUAUUCUUAUAGACAAAACAUGCUUAACAAACUGCUUAGCUAUGCAUUUUUGUACUGCAUCACAAUGUGUGUUACCAAUCAAAGUAUCAAAUUUAUAUCACUA
Amphimedon queenslandica is the source of this 741-nucleotide long non-coding RNA. RefSeq lists it as uncharacterized. Lineage: Eukaryota; Metazoa; Porifera; Demospongiae; Haplosclerida; Niphatidae. The record is from RefSeq and is a predicted model, not a curated record. The transcript has 2 exons.